Molecule: long non-coding RNA, 2423 nt
Organism: Piliocolobus tephrosceles (Ugandan red Colobus)
Lineage: Eukaryota; Metazoa; Chordata; Mammalia; Primates; Cercopithecidae
Exons: 3
Source: RefSeq, a predicted model, not a curated record
GCCACAUAUUUGAAUCACUUGGAGAGCUGCUAAAACCCAUGACACUAGGUCACAACCCAGACAAAUGAAAUCAGAAUCCCUGGAGGGUGAGACCCAGGCAUCAAGAAGGAUUUAAGAUCUCUGCAAGAUUUAAAUAGGCAGCCAAAGUUGAGAGCAGCUGGCUUAAAGAGAGUAUAAGGCUUUGUUACAGUAUCUCAGCAUGGAUUACAUUUCAGUUUAGCUCUUUGCUAUUAUUCUUAUCCUCUGAAAUGUUUACACCACACAAUGGCCUAUUACUGGCUCUGAAUUUUAUAUCAUAUAUCACAUAAUAGAUUCCUCACUUAAGUUGUAGACAUAGGCAAAACUUUUCUUGUUUUCGAUGUAAGAUAAAGGGAGAGAAUGACUGGAUCAAAACAAAAAUAAGAUAAUAAUACAAAAUAAGUCAUGGGAUGGCAUCACAUUUUAAGAGUCUUUAUUUCUGACAAAAGCACAAACUUACUUGUUGGUGGCAUGACUUUUGCCAUUUUUCCUACCUUAACUGUUUAAGCUUGCAGCAAUUGUAUAGGUCACUGUAUAGGCUAAGGCUGUUUGAUGCCUUUCUUUUUCAAGCUGUGUCAAAAUAUCUUCAAGUAAAAAAGAUGAUUUGAAAGGUAUAAACCUAACUAAAGUAAUAGCACAGAUACAGUUUCUGUGUUUGGGCAGAUUUUAAGACAUUUCUAUGUGUUUUUCUGACACAAUGGAUCCUACGGACUACCAUAGACAUAGAUUAGUCUGAUUUUAGGCCAUCGCUUUGUAGCACUAUGCAGCUUUUAUCUGAAAGACAUUUCAAGAGGGGGAGCUAGUUAGCUAAUUAAUUAGAGAUUGUGACUUCAAUUUUGCAGACAAGAGAUACUUUCCGAGUUUAAGGAAAACCCUAAGAAAGCUGCGUUUCCAUAUCUGUGUCAUGGGAAGUCUCCUGUCCUGUUUCCACUCUGCCUUCUCCAUAAAGCAGGCUGAUUAUCGGGGCUCUCACACAAGCCCAGCGUGGUAGCUGAUUAAGGCUUGAAAAACAAAAAGCAAAUAGGAUUCCUAAUCAUGUGUCUCAUAGAAAUGGAGCUACAAAAACACAAAGAAUUGCCAUUACACCCUAAGUCUUGCAAUUUAGAGCAACUCAGGAAAUAGGUGCACAUAAGCAAACCAUGUGGUUAAAGUCUUUGGACCUGGUUUGGAGCAAAGCUGUAGGUGAUUUGUCAAAAUCAUCUGCAAAACCAGAUUUCUAACACCUCCCUGCUGUGCAUCUCAUUUCUGCUGAUGUGUGGUACUUCCUAAGAUGGGGACGUUAAGCAUGCAGCAACUACAGUCAUUUGUUCUCAGAGGCUGCAGUGCAGUGGAUCACCAUAGUCUUGACCUCCUGGACUCAAGCUACCCUCAGUUUCCUGAGUAGUUGGGACUACAGGAGCAUGCCACCAUGUCCAGAAACGUUGUGAUGCUGCGUUGGAGAGGCUGUGGGGCUGCCAAGACAGCAUGGAGGUUCCACUAAAAUUCAGACUCUGGAACAGGCCCUAUGUAACCAGUAAAACAGACGAUUUUAGCCGUCACAGAUGCUCUGCAGCCGUAAAGUGCCUCUGAACAGCUAAUACUGUGAAAGUGUGGGGAGAAAUGAGAGCUCAGCCAGAGUUCCUGAAGGCCAGCCCUAUGAUAUCUGUUCCCACCACAGCGGAUGGCUGUUCCCAUAUCCAGCCACAGUAGGGUUCCAGCCCCUCUGUGCAGGGGAGAAAGAUGUGGACCCUGAGGAUGCUGACAACCUGAGUGCAGAGCAAGGUUGACCAGGGAUCUACAUGGCCUGUCCUCAGUAAAGACAGCCUCGAGAGGACCAGAGUGAGAAGGUCACGUUGAAAAAAGGGAUGUGACCAAGGGACAGGAGUCCCCUGGUGCUACAUCUUCAACUGCCUGCUGAGGAGCCUGGGAAACCCUCCCCCACGAGGUGGCUAGAAGACAGGAGCAGCAGAUCCUACUGAGGUCACUGAGCGCCUGAGGCUGGGCAGGAUGCAGCUGAGCAAAGGCUGGCUUGGCAGCUCUACGCUCUUCCUGUUUAGUCAUCCAACAAGAAGAAAGAAAAGUGAAACUCUAGCAGUAAGAUUUUUCUUAGAAAAAUGGCAACAAACACCUUUCAUUGUUCUAUAUACAACCAAAUAAAGAUGUAAAGAACUCAUUUAAAAUUUGUAUUUAGUCUUUUCAAGGUGAGUUUUUCAAAGUAAAAAACUACAAGCACUCUUAAUAUCUAAAAUCAAAUUUAAAAAAUAGUUCUGAAUGUUCUAGUGAAUGAAAAAAGGCAAAAACCAAUAUAACUGGAACUAUUUGAAAUAAUAAUUAAAAAACAGUCCAUUUAUAAUUCAAAGAAUUUACUUAGAUUAUACCUUAGAUAGCCUAAGAAAAUCAAGUGAAAAAAUAUUAGACUUAAUAAC